This 18-nucleotide microRNA is filed under the name Mus musculus (house mouse). Its description in RNAcentral is "mmu-miR-299b-3p". Its record names the gene mmu-miR-299b-3p. The record is from miRBase by way of RNAcentral. Lineage: Eukaryota; Metazoa; Chordata; Mammalia; Rodentia; Muridae.
UAUGUGGGACGGUAAACC